CUCAGUUCGGAUUGUAGGCUGAAACUCGCCUACAUGGAGCUGGAGUUGCUAGUAAUCGCGAAUCAGCAUGUCGCGGUGAAUACGUUCCCGGGCCUUGUACACACCGCCCGUCACACCAUGAGAGUUGGCAAUACCCAACGUACGUGAUCUAACCCGCAAGGGAGGAAGCGUCCUAAGGUAGGGUCAGCGAUUGGGGUGAAGUCGUAACAAGGUAAC
Molecule: ribosomal RNA, 216 nt
Filed under: uncultured bacterium
Lineage: Bacteria
Description: partial 16S ribosomal RNA
Rfam family: Bacterial small subunit ribosomal RNA
Source: RNAcentral